UAGGGGAGCGUUCUGUAAGCCUGUGAAGGUGUGUCGUGAGGCAUGCUGGAGGUAUCAGAAGUGCGAAUGCUGACAUAAGUAACGAUAAAGCGGGUGAAAAGCCCGCUCGCCGGAAGACCAAGGGUUCCUGUCCAACGUUAAUCGGGGCAGGGUGAGUCGACCCCUAAGGCGAGGCCGAAAGGCGUAGUCGAUGGGAAACGGGUUAAUAUUCCCGUACUUGGUGUUACUGCGAAGGGGGGACGGAGAAGGCUAUGUUGGCCGGGCGACGGUUGUCCCGGUUUAAGCGUGUAGGUGUGUGUUCCAGGUAAAUCCGGUUCACUUUAACACUGAGGCGUGACGACGAGGCACUACGGUGCUGAAGCAACAAAUGCCCUGCUUCCAGGAAAAGCCUCUAAGCAUCAGGUAACAUCAAAUCGUACCCCAAACCGACACAGGUGGUCAGGUAGAGAAUACCAAGGCGCUUGAGAGAACUCGGGUGAAGGAACUAGGCAAAAUGGUGCCGUAACUUCGGGAGAAGGCACGCUGACACGUAGGUGAAGUGAUUUACUCAUGGAGCUGAAGUCAGUCGAAGAUACCAGCUGGCUGCAACUGUUUAUUAAAAACACAGCACUGUGCAAACACGAAAGUGGACGUAUACGGUGUGACGCCUGCCCGGUGCCGGAAGGUUAAUUGAUGGGGUCAGCGCAAGCGAAGCUCCUGAUCGAAGCCCCGGUAAACGGCGGCCGUAACUAUAACGGUCCUAAGGUAGCGAAAUUCCUUGUCGGGUAAGUUCCGACCUGCACGAAUGGCGUAAUGAUGGCCAGGCUGUCUCCACCCGAGACUCAGUGAAAUUGAACUCGCUGUGAAGAUGCAGUGUACCCGCGGCAAGACGGAAAGACCCCGUGAACCUUUACUAUAGCUUGACACUGAACAUUGAGCCUUGAUGUGUAGGAUAGGUGGGAGGCUUUGAAGUGUGGACGCCAGUCUGCAUGGAGCCGACCUUGAAAUACCACCCUUUAAUGUUUGAUGUUCUAACGUGGACCCGUUACCCGGGUUGCGGACAGUGUCUGGUGGGUAGUUUGACUGGGGCGGUCUCCUCCUAAAGAGUAACGGAGGAGCACGAAGGUUGGCUAAUCCUGGUCGGACAUCAGGAGGUUAGUGCAAUGGCAUAAGCCAGCUUGACUGCGAGCGUGACGGCGCGAGCAGGUGCGAAAGCAGGUCAUAGUGAUCCGGUGGUUCUGAAUGGAAGGGCCAUCGCUCAACGGAUAAAAGGUACUCCGGGGAUAACAGGCUGAUACCGCCCAAGAGUUCAUAUCGACGGCGGUGUUUGGCACCUCGAUGUCGGCUCAUCACAUCCUGGGGCUGAAGUAGGUCCCAAGGGUAUGGCUGUUCGCCAUUUAAAGUGGUACGCGAGCUGGGUUUAGAACGUCGUGAGACAGUUCGGUCCCUAUCUGCCGUGGGCGCUGGAGAACUGAGGGGGGCUGCUCCUAGUACGAGAGGACCGGAGUGGACGCAUCACUGGUGUUCGGGUUGUCAUGCCAAUGGCACUGCCCGGUAGCUAAAUGCGGAAGAGAUAAGUGCUGAAAGCAUCUAAGCACGAAACUUGCCCCGAGAUGAGUUCUCCCUGAGACUUAGAGUCUCCUGAAGGAACGUUGAAGACGACGACGUUGAUAGGCCGGGUGUGUAAGCGCAGCGAUGCGUUGAGCUAACCGGUACUAAUGAACCGUGAGGCUUAACCUUAC
This 1721-nucleotide ribosomal RNA is filed under the name Salmonella enterica subsp. enterica serovar Heidelberg str. RI-11-013374. RNAcentral's name for it is "bacterial LSU rRNA". It matches the Rfam family "Bacterial large subunit ribosomal RNA", at positions 1229 to 2925 of the family's 2925-position model. The record is from RNAcentral. Lineage: Bacteria; Pseudomonadati; Pseudomonadota; Gammaproteobacteria; Enterobacterales; Enterobacteriaceae.